AGAGUUUGAUCAUGGCUCAGAAUGAACGCUGGCGGCGUGCCUAACACAUGCCCGUCGUACGAGAAAUCCCGAGCUUGCUUGGGAGAGUAAAGUGGCGCACGGGUGAGUAACGCGUGGGUAACCCACCUUCGAAUCUGGGAUAACUCCGCGAAAGCGGUGCUAAUACCGGAUAAGACCACAGCCGUUUCGGCGGCAGAGGUAAAAGCUGACCUCUCCAUGGAAGUUAGCGUUCGAGGACGGGCCCGCGUCCUAUCAGCUUGUUGGUGGGGUAAAGGCCUACCAAGGCAGCGACGGGUAGCUGGUCUGAGAGGAUGAUCAGCCACACUGGAACUGGAACACGGUCCAGACUCCUACGGGAGGCAGCAGUGAGGAAUUUUGCGCAAUGGGGGAAACCCUGACGCAGCAACGCCGCGUGGGUGAAGAAGGCUUUCGGGUCGUAAAGCCCUGUCAGGUGGGAAGAAACCCUUCAGCACUAAUAAUGCUGAAGCCUGACGGUACCACCAGAGGAAGCACCGGCCAACUCCGUGCCAGCAGCCGCGGUAAUACGGAGGGUGCAAGCGUUGUUCGGAAUUAUUGGGCGUAAAGAGCGUGUAGGCGGUUCGGUAAGUCAGAUGUGAAAGCCCUGGGCUCAACCCAGGAAGUGCAUUUGAAACUACCAGACUUGAGUACGGGAGAGGAGGGGGGAAUUCCCGGUGUAGAGGUGAAAUUCGUAGAUAUCGGGAGGAAUACCAGUGGCGAAGGCGCCCCUCUGGACCGAUACUGACGCUGAGACGCGAAAGCGUGGGGAGCAAACAGGAUUAGAUACCCUGGUAGUCCACGCCGUAAACGAUGAGCACUAGGUGUAGCGGGUAUUGACCCCUGCUGUGCCGUAGCUAACGCAUUAAGUGCUCCGCCUGGGGACUACGGUCGCA
RNAcentral lists this ribosomal RNA (911 nucleotides) under uncultured bacterium. Its description in RNAcentral is "bacterial SSU rRNA". It matches the Rfam family "Bacterial small subunit ribosomal RNA", at positions 8 to 890 of the family's 1533-position model. The record is from RNAcentral.